This 272-nucleotide unclassified non-coding RNA is filed under the name uncultured Endogonales. RNAcentral's name for it is "sequence contains ITS2". The record is from RNAcentral. Lineage: Eukaryota; Fungi; Mucoromycota; Endogonomycetes; Endogonales.
GCACCCUCGAACCCGGCAAGCUUUUCAAUUGCUUGCUAGGGACUUCGGACCUGGGCCAUGCGGGCUUUUUCAGGGAAGCUCGCCGGCCUGAAAUCCAGUCGCGACCGCACCCGAACCCUACUUUCUGGGCUCUGGGAGAAGGCGUCAUAGUUGGCCCCCUGGGUCAUCUUUCGCCGAUCCUCUCACGUCCUCUGGGCUUGGGCCUUUCCAGGAACGCGCAAAUCUGUCCCGGGCAAAGGGGGAGGAAAUCCCCUCCGGACAGCCUCUCAUAA